UAGGGAAUCUUCCACAAUGGACGCAAGUCUGAUGGAGCAACGCCGCGUGAGUGAAGAAGGGUUUCGGCUCGUAAAGCUCUGUUGUUGGUGAAGAAGGACAGGGGUAGUAACUGACCUUUGUUUGACGGUAAUCAAUUAGAAAGUCACGGCUAACUACGUGCCAGCAGCCGCGGUAAUACGUAGGUGGCAAGCGUUGUCCGGAUUUAUUGGGCGUAAAGCGAGUGCAGGCGGCUCGAUAAGUCUGAUGUGAAAGCCUUCGGCUCAACCGGAGAAUUGCAUCAGAAACUGUCGAGCUUGAGUACAGAAGAGGAGAGUGGAACUCCAUGUGUAGCGGUGAAAUGCGUAGAUAUAUGGAAGAACACCGGUGGCGAAGGCGGCUCUCUGGUCUGUUACUGACGCUGAGGCUCGAAAGCAUGGGUAGCGAACA
Molecule: ribosomal RNA, 427 nt
Filed under: Brucella melitensis
Lineage: Bacteria; Pseudomonadati; Pseudomonadota; Alphaproteobacteria; Hyphomicrobiales; Brucellaceae
Also listed under: 2 other names
Description: partial 16S ribosomal RNA
Rfam family: Bacterial small subunit ribosomal RNA
Source: RNAcentral